GCAAAGCUAACACACUUAUAUAACUGUACUAUUGAAGGUUUCGUUCAUUGACACAAAUUAUCGAACACCUUCAAGGCAACCGACGUUUCGACAAUCUUGGUGAAGUCCUUGCUGCAUUUGGUGUCACUGGUACACUCUUCUUCUCAGAUCCCUUCACUCCCUUCUUCAAUUUUCUACCUCUGGGUUUCAAUUUCUCAACUACAGCUUCUUUGUUUCUACCACUCCUUGUUCUUCCCAUAACUACCCCAUCACUCUUCUCAGCAACUUUAUCAAAAU
This 276-nucleotide unclassified non-coding RNA is filed under the name Hevea brasiliensis (rubber tree). The record is from RNAcentral. Lineage: Eukaryota; Viridiplantae; Streptophyta; Magnoliopsida; Malpighiales; Euphorbiaceae.